RNAcentral lists this long non-coding RNA (382 nucleotides) under Homo sapiens (human). RNAcentral describes it as "non-protein coding lnc-AMPH-1:1". The record is from RNAcentral. Lineage: Eukaryota; Metazoa; Chordata; Mammalia; Primates; Hominidae.
CUUCCUUGUUGAGUGGGGCCUGAGUUUUAAGAGGAUCUUCUGCUCCUCUUCAUCUGGUCCCUUUCCUUCCAAGGCCCCAGAGAGGAAGGCAUGCGGUGGGCCCUAGCGGUGCUUCUAGCUUUCCUGUCUCCUGCCAGUCAGAUAUCUUCCAACUUGGAAGGGAGAACGAAGUCAGUCACCAGGCUGACUGGGUCAUCUGCUGAAAUCACCUGUGAUCUUCCUGGAGCAAGUACCUUAUACAUCCACUGGUACCUGCACCAGGAGGGGAAGGCCCCACAGUGUCUUCUGUACUAUGAACCCUACUACUCCAGGGUUGUGCUGGAAUCAGGAAUCACUCCAGGAAAGUAUGACACUGGAAGCACAAGGAGCAAUUGGAAUUUGA